AGCUCGUAGUUGGAUUUCUGUUGAAGACCGGCGGUCCACCUUUUGGGUGAGUAUCUGCUUGGGCUUCGGCAUCUUCUCGGAAUACGUUGCUGCGCUUGAUUGCGUGGUUCGGAGUCCGGGACUUUUACUUUGAGGAAAUUAGAGUGUUCACGGCAGGCAUACGCCUUGAAUAUAUUAGCAUGGAAUAAUAAUAUAGGAUCUUGGUUCUAUUUUGUUGGUUUCUAGAGCUAAGAUAAUGAUUAAUAGGGACAAUUGGGGGCAUUCGUAUUAACGCGUCAGAGGUGAAAUUCUUGGAUUGCGUUACGACGAACUACUGCGAAAGCAUUUGCCAAGGAUGUUUUCAUUGAUCAAGAACGAAAGUAAGGGGAUCGAAGAUGAUUAGAUACCGUCGUAGUCUUUACCAUAAACUAUGCCAACUAGAGAUGGGGCGUCGUACUACUAUUACUCGCU
RNAcentral lists this ribosomal RNA (450 nucleotides) under uncultured marine eukaryote. Its description in RNAcentral is "SSU rRNA". It matches the Rfam family "Eukaryotic small subunit ribosomal RNA", at positions 625 to 1080 of the family's 1831-position model. The record is from RNAcentral.